UACGUAGGGGGCAAGCGUUGUCCGGAAUCAUUGGGCGGAAAGAGCGUGUAGGCGGCCAGAAAAGUCCGCUGUGAAAACUCGAGGCUCAACUUCGAGCUGUCGGUGGAAACUUUCUGGCUAGAGUCCGGAAGAGGAGAAUGGAAUUCCUGGUGUAGCGGUGAAAUGCGCAGAUAUCAGGAAGAACACCCGUGGCGAAGGCGGUUCUCUGGGCUGACACUGACGCUCAUGCACGAAAGCGUGGGGAGCAAACAGG
Molecule: ribosomal RNA, 253 nt
Filed under: uncultured bacterium
Lineage: Bacteria
Description: partial 16S ribosomal RNA
Rfam family: Bacterial small subunit ribosomal RNA
Source: RNAcentral